This 709-nucleotide long non-coding RNA is filed under the name Populus trichocarpa (black cottonwood). RNAcentral describes it as "long non-coding RNA (PTRI_LNC001288)". Lineage: Eukaryota; Viridiplantae; Streptophyta; Magnoliopsida; Malpighiales; Salicaceae. The record is from RNAcentral.
GUCUUCCCACCAAAGCCUUUUCCUCCACCACUUCCAGUCUACAAGAAGCCACUCCCACCUCCAGUUCCAAUCUACAAGCCAGAGCCAAAACCACCAGUCUUCAAGCCUCCUCCGGUCCCAAUCUACAAGAAGCCACUCCCACCUCCAGUUCCAAUCUACAAGCCAGAGCCAAAACCACCAGUCUUCAAGCCUCCUCCGGUCCCAAUCUACAAGCCAAAACCACCAGUCUUCAAGCCUCCUCCGAUCCCAAUCUACAAGAAGCCACUCCCACCUCCAGUUCCAAUCUACAAGCCAGAGCCAAAACCACCAGUCUUCAAGCCUCCUCCGGUCCCAAUCUACAAGAAGCCACUCCCACCUCCAGUUCCAAUCUACAAGCCAGAGCCAAAACCACCAGUUUUCAAGCCUCCUCCGGUCCCAAUCUACAAGCCAAAACCACCAGUCUUCAAGCCUCCUCCGGUCCCAAUCUAUAAGAAGCCACUCCCACCUCCAGUUCCAAUCUACAAGCCAGAGCCAAAACCACCAGUUUUCAAGCCUCCUCCGGUCCCAAUCUACAAGCCAAAACCACCAGUCUUCAAACCCCCUCCUGUUCCAGUCUACAAACCAAAGCCAAAACCACCAAUCUACAAGCCUCUCCCACCUCCUGUUCCCAUCUCCAAGCCUCUCCCUCCAAUCCCAAAGAUCCCUCCAUUUUAUAAGAAGCCAUUGCCCC